Non-coding RNA from Trichonephila clavipes, 90 nucleotides. NCBI's taxonomy places the organism in Eukaryota, Metazoa, Arthropoda, Arachnida, Araneae, Nephilidae. The record is from the annotation of a GenBank genome assembly.
GUCGGAAAGAUGGCCGAGCGUGGCCCAAGGCGCCGAGACUUAAGCUCUGGGUCUUCGAAAGAGAGCGUGGGUUCGAACUCACUUUUGAUA